GAAUAAGAAGCGAUUAAUUGCAGUCAGUUUCGACCUGGCCUUAGGUAAACAUUACCCUCAUUCU
This 64-nucleotide transfer RNA is filed under the name Sphaeronemoura grandicauda. RNAcentral's name for it is "tRNA-Arg". Lineage: Eukaryota; Metazoa; Arthropoda; Insecta; Plecoptera; Nemouridae. The record is from RNAcentral.